CCUACGGGCGGCAGCAGUGGGGAAUAUUGCACAAUGGGGGAAACCCUGAUGCAGCGACGCCGCGUGAGUGAAGAAGUAUUUCGGUAUGUAAAGCUCUAUCAGCAGGGAAGAAAAUGACGGUACCUGAUUAAGAAGCCCCGGCUAACUACGUGCCAGCAGCCGCGGGAAUACGUAGGGGGAAAGCGUUAUCCGGAUUUACUGGGUGUAAAGGGAGCGUAAACGGCAGCACAAGUCUGGAGUGAAAUGCCGGGGCUUAACCCCGGAACUGCUUUGGAAACUGUGCAGCUAGAGUGCAGGAGAGGUAAGUGGAAUUCCUAGUGUAGCGGUGAAAUGCGUAGAUAUUAGGAGGAACACCAGUGGCGAAGGCGGCUUACUGGACUGUAACUGACGUUGAGGCUCGAAAGCGUGGGGAGCAAACAGGAUUAGAUACCCUAGUAGUC
Molecule: ribosomal RNA, 440 nt
Filed under: uncultured bacterium
Lineage: Bacteria
Description: partial 16S ribosomal RNA
Rfam family: Bacterial small subunit ribosomal RNA
Source: RNAcentral